ACCUGGCUGGCUCAGUUGGUAGAGUUUGAGACUCUUGACCUUUGGGGCAUGAGUUCGAGCCCCAUGUCGAGUG
Molecule: transfer RNA, 73 nt
Filed under: Ailuropoda melanoleuca (giant panda)
Lineage: Eukaryota; Metazoa; Chordata; Mammalia; Carnivora; Ursidae
Rfam family: tRNA
About the family: Transfer RNA (tRNA) molecules are approximately 80 nucleotides in length. Their secondary structure includes four short double-helical elements and three loops (D, anti-codon, and T loops).
Source: Rfam by way of RNAcentral